GCGGAGGUUUUAACGUUGCUCUUAGCUUAGUAAUGCUCAAAAUUCAGAGAAAAAACGCAGAACAUAAUCGCGGGAAGCCAACCUUGUGGCGCUUAGGUCUGGUUUCACGAUCGAGCUUCGGCCUUUGACCUUUGGAAGCCAUGGUGCUGUGUCGUCGUCAGAUCCAGAAGCUGGGGAAUCUGGACCGUCCGAUCAACGCCACCGUGGGGGUUCUUCUACGAUUGCUCUCUCUGUGACUCUUUGUCUCUUUAUCUGGAGAAGCAUGUUGGUUUCUCUCUCCGUCUUUCUCCGUUGCGUUUUCGGCUCGGGUCUUAUUACGUGGCUGGAUUCCG
Molecule: long non-coding RNA, 332 nt
Filed under: Rosa chinensis
Lineage: Eukaryota; Viridiplantae; Streptophyta; Magnoliopsida; Rosales; Rosaceae
Description: sRNA RchiOBHm_Chr5g0024851
Source: RNAcentral